RNAcentral lists this ribosomal RNA (503 nucleotides) under uncultured bacterium. RNAcentral describes it as "partial 16S ribosomal RNA". It matches the Rfam family "Bacterial small subunit ribosomal RNA", at positions 27 to 507 of the family's 1533-position model. The record is from RNAcentral.
GGACGAACGCUGGCGGCGUGCCUAAUACAUGCAAGUCGAACGAACUGCGACUAAGUGCUUGCACUAAGUCAAGGUGAGUGGCGAACGGGUGAGUAACACGUGGGUAACCUACCUCAUAGUGGGGGAUAACAGUCGGAAACGACUGCUAAUACCGCAUAGGACAUAGGAUCACAUGAUCCAGUGAGGAAAGGUGGCGCAAGCUAUCGCUAAGAGAUGGACCCGCGGUGCAUUAGCUAGUUGGUAGGGUAAAGGCCUACCAAGGCGAUGAUGCAUAGCCGACCUGAGAGGGUGAUCGGCCACAUUGGGACUGAGACACGGCCCAAACUCCUACGGGAGGCAGCAGUAGGGAAUCUUCCGCAAUGGACGCAAGUCUGACGGAGCAACGCCGCGUGAGUGAAGAAGGUCUUCGGAUCGUAAAGCUCUGUUGUUAGAGAAGAACAGCGCAUAGAGUAACUGCUAUGCGUGUGACGGUAGCUAACCAGAAAGCCACGGCUAACUACGUG